Molecule: long non-coding RNA, 1210 nt
Organism: Hordeum vulgare subsp. vulgare (domesticated barley)
Lineage: Eukaryota; Viridiplantae; Streptophyta; Magnoliopsida; Poales; Poaceae
Exons: 7
Source: RefSeq, a predicted model, not a curated record
ACCCCGUCGUGGCACGGCCACCACCAGCGCGACGUCCGUCCUCGCGUGCGUGCGUGCCAUCUUUGUCACUGCCCCCGUACGUGCGUGCGGCGCGCGAAUCCGAGCUCCCGUCAUCCACACGCCGGGGCGGUUAGGAUCCGGUUCCCGAUCGGCGCCGGCACGGGGAGAUCCGCCCGGAAAACGACCCGGGAAAGCUCCAAAGCUGGCCAGGGCCGGGAUGGGGAAAGGAAGAGGGAGCGCCUGACCGCCGCGAGCCCAUGGCUGUUGUCGGAGCGGUGGCGGCGGCUCCGGCUCCAGGCGGCCCGGAUCCCGCGCGAGGCAGACAAGCCUAGAGAAACGCUAAAUACGGGGAAAUGUGAGGGAAGUCCUUGGACUGCUGAAUCUGCACUCGAGGUUAUCCUAAACUAUUCUGGAGUUUAACAACCACAGCCAUCUAUUCUUGGUCAUAUAUGCAGCCGGACAGUCUUAACCCAAGUUUCAAACUGAAGACUAGACAACACACCAUUAUGGACAUGUGUGCCUGUCCAAAUAGGCAACAACAUCUAAGUGUGUGAUGCAGACAUGCAGUAGUGAUCAAUAUGUGUAAUUAACACAAGACAUGACUAAUUCUUCUAAUUACUUCCCCGUAAGAUCGUUGGAACAUGUUAGUGCUACUUCUCUCUGAAGCAGCACUAAGCAAUUUCUUUAUCUGGAAUCUGAUGGAAGUUCAACAAAGAUGGACACCACUGCUUUUGCACUGGAGGUUGUCCUAAACUAUUCAGGAGCUUACAGACAACUUCCAUGUAUUCUUGGUCAGAAAUGCAGUCAGGCAGACUUAACGACAGCGAUGUCGGAGGUUUGGUCGACCAUUUUGUUCCAGGCUUGGAUUGCAAUUUUCUGGAAGCACGUUCAAGCCGUGACAGUGUUGUGACUGCAGAACUCAGCAGGGCAAAUUUCAGUUUAUGCUCGCUCACAUCACCUUGAUGCAUGCUCAUCAUUGGAUCCCAGUGUUGCAGGUGUUUGACGAGAAGGUAAACGGUUUGGUGCAGGGAUCAAUCAAGAUAUAAUGUAUAGUGAUUGUGGAUCAUGAUGAGUUGAAAUACAGGAGGUGGCUCAGCUCAGAUUCUACCGUGAGCCAAGUCUGAUCUUUGGGCCUGCAGGGUGUUGCAUACAAACAUCAACGAGUCAAAUCUCAGUUUUGCUCACGCCACAUUGGGUGUGUCCCGGGAGA